CGGGCGCUGGAGCGGCGGGCCGCCCUGAGGAAGCGGCGGCGGCCGAGGCGGCGACCGCAGCCGGGAGGUAGCGGCCUGACGAGGGACGGGCCGCUGCCCUCUCGGACAGCCGCGGCGGAAGAGAAAGAUGGCGGAGGCCUCGGCAGCCGGGGCGGGCGCGGGCGCCGCUGUUGCCGCGCACCGGUUUUUCUGCCACUUUUGCAAGGGCGAGGUCAGCCCGAAACUACCGGAAUAUAUUUGUCCCAGAUGUGAAUCAGGCUUUAUUGAAGAAGUGACAGAUGAUUCCAGUUUUGUAGGUGGUGGCAGCAGCCGGAUAGACAAUAGCACAUCAACACACUUUGCAGAGCUCUGGGAACAUUUGGACCACACGAUGUUUUUCCCAGACUUCAGACCAUUUCUAAGUAGCAGUCCACUGGACCAAGAUAAUAGAGCCAAUGAGAGGGGUCACCAAACUCAUACCGACUUCUGGGGACCAAGUCGGCCUCCACGGCUGCCAAUGACUCGAAGAUAUAGAUCGCGGGGAAGUACUCGUCCUGAUAGAUCCCCAGCUAUUGAAGGCAUAAUACAGCAGAUAUUUGCAGGAUUCUUUGCAAAUUCUGCAAUUCCUGGAUCCUCACAUCCUUUUUCCUGGAGCGGGAUGCUGCACUCCAACCCUGGGGACUAUGCCUGGGGUCAGACAGGGCUUGAUGCCAUUGUAACCCAGCUUUUAGGACAACUGGAAAACACAGGGCCUCCCCCGGCUGACAAAGAAAAGAUCACAUCUCUUCCAACAGUGACAGUAACUCAGGAACAAGUUGAUAUGGGUUUAGAGUGUCCAGUGUGCAAAGAAGAUUACACAGUUGAAGAGGAAGUCCGGCAGUUACCCUGCAACCACUUUUUCCACAGCAGUUGUAUUGUGCCGUGGUUAGAACUGCAUGACACGUGUCCUGUGUGUAGGAAGAGCUUAAAUGGUGAGGACUCUACUCGGCAAACCCAGAACUCUGAGGCCUCUGCAAGCAACAGAUAUAGCAGUGACAGCCAGCUACACGACCGAUGGACUUUCUGAAGCUGAAAAGCCCGCAUCUGAGCCACAGCUGUGGUAGUCUUCUUAUCACAGCUGUCAAUUGUAUCAAAACAGAAAAGUAGUAGGUGGAUUUAGGAAUCGCAUAAGAAACCCCAACCCAUAAUAUUAAUGCAAGAGAGUACGAGUGGGAGAGAGGGGCAGAGAAAUAGAGAGAGAAUCCUAACCCUCCACACUGAGUGUGGAGCCCGAAGCAAGGCUCGAUCCCAUGACCCUGGCAUCAUGACCUGAGCCAAAAUCAAGAGUCAGACACUCAACCAACUGAGCCACCCAGGCACCCCAGGAAGCAUACUCGUAUGGAGAGUUUCCAGAAUGAGUCUCACGUAAGUUCUGAGGCAGGAACUUGAGGGAAUAUAUCACAAGUGGCCAUCCUGUGGGGGGAAAGUGUAGCUUAUAGUAAUGUCAGCGUCUUAGCACUCAGCCUGGGAAGCACAGGGCUGCUCCAAGGGUUUAAAGGAGACUGUGUACAAGUGGAGAUGUUUUCUAGGAUCCACUUAGAGCCCUUGUCUUAUCCAAAGGACAUUAUGAGGUUUUGAUCUCUCAUACCUGCCAGAUAUAUGGAAUUAUAGUCAUUCAACUCUAAGAUUGUAUACAUAAAAACUUUAUAACGUUUUGCCAAAUUGCACUUAGUUGGUAUCCACGGAAGUAGAGUCUAUAUGUUUGUUGCCUUUCCUGUUUCAGCUGCGUAUUUGUGACUCAUGGGGUGUAGGAUUGUGGUUCUUUACCUUUUCUAAUAAGAUGUACCAAUUUUAGGGUCCAAAAAUUAUUAGACUCCUCAUAACAAGAUGAUUGUUGUAUUUUUAGGAUUUUUUAAUGAAAAAAUACAUAACAAAAGCUGCUGUGAUUUCAGUAAUGCUUUUAUUUUUUUUAGUAUUUUUCAUUAAGUUUUUUUAAAUUUAAGUAAUCUGUACACGCCAUGUGGGGCUUGAACUCACAACCCCGAGAUCAAAAGUCAUAUGCUGUUCUGACCAAGCCAGCCAGACGCCCCUCCGUAAUGCUUUUAAAUCAGUUUGUCUUUAUUAGUAACACCAUAAUCUAUAUCCAGUUGAAAUAUAGUAUAUAAAUAUUUGUAAGCUAGUAUUAUUUAUUCAGAGUGAAGGUAAUGCUGAAGUCGAUUCUUUGUAAUAAUUCCGUGGCCUCACAGAGGUUCACAUUCCAUGCAUGGGUUGUGAAUCACUCCUAUAGACUGAGGUUAAGAUGUGUGUUCAGAAAACGACCUAUUCAUGGAUGGAAAUUUGUAGGCUUAUUUGAAAUCAGUGGUAUCAAUAAUUUCUGAAGGCAAGAUAGAAGUAUUUCACAUUUCCAUUUUAACCAAAUCUUUAGAUAAGCAGAAUAAACAAAACAAAUUCUUUAGAAAUGAGACUUUUUACUGUUGCUUUACUUAUUCUGCUUAGUUCAAGUCAGAGCUAAUAGUCUAAUGUUCUUGAAUGUCUUGACAAGCUUUUGCAGCAAGCAUGUAUCCUUUUACAGAUAUUUAUGUGUGACCUAUAUUAGUAUAGCAAAACGGGUGAAACUUUUUCUAUAGCUUCUUUGUGAAAUUUCCAGUGAUUGUGUAAUAUUGACAGAUUUCAGAAGAUUCUUUGAAUAGUAAAAAGCAAAAGAUGUCAUCCAUGUGAGCUUAAAAUUUAGAAACACAGAACAUACAUAAAACCGGUAGAGAAAGAUUAAAGUGAACAUAAUAUAAUGGAGAAAGCUUUGGAGACUUUGGAGUCCAUAUUCAAAUGGCUUUAGGUUUAAAAUCCAGAAUCUCAUUUGAACCUCAGAGCAAUCCUGUGGAAACGGAAGAUAGCGUAGGCAAGAUCCCAUUUACAGAUAAGUAAACAAAUAGCAUAUCAAAAUUUCAUUGGCCCAAGGACCCAGAGCUGGUACAUUGCAAAGCCAGAGUUUGAAUCCAGAUGUUUUGACUCCAUGCCUACUCUUUUUACCUCCAUAAGGCACAAAAUCCAAAAUCCUUACUUAGUUCGAGGGUCAAGCCAUCACUAAUAAGGGUCUAACCCAUCUUUUUCAGCCUUUUCUCUCCCUCUUCCCACAAACCGUAGCUCCCACAUUUGGCAGGUCCUGGCCAAGGAUCACAGGUAAGGUGUCUGUUUGCUUUUGAUGGCUUCCCAUUUAGCUCCAGUUAAAUUGUCUGUGUUCCUAUCUGUUUAUUCACAAAGUUUCUCCUGUCAGGAAUAUCCUGCCGUCCCCCCAACUCCUUCUCUCACUCCUUGCUUAACUAGGACAAGAGGUCAUCUGUCCAGAGAGAAAGACAAGAGGAUUUGUGACUUUAGGAGAAAAGAGAAGGCUGCAAAUAUUGCUUUGGGCAUUUAUUUAAAAGGAAAGAGAUGUGACCAAAGAGAUGGACAAAAACAUGGUUGAAGCUGGGCACUUAUGCUCCGUGUUGCUGCUUGGCACACCGCUGUUUCUUCCUUCAGCUGCGCUGGGUGGGGGUGGGGGGGGUUCUGCCCAAUGCCAGGGUCUCUUCAUUUCCUUGGUUUCGUGCUGAGUCAGUCACUGGCUCUGGCUUUCUUCUCCUACCUAUCUUUGCCUGUUUCUUCUCUCUUCUUUCUAGUGUCAAAUAAAAAUCUCUUCCAAAAAAGUUGGUGUUCUCAUUUUGUUUGGCUUCCUUGUUUACUGUGUUGGAGGAGGGGGAAGGAAAACGUUUUUCUUGGGCACAAAACCACACAUACUUACCCAAUAUUUGAGUGAGAACUGUACAUCGUCCACUUUUGUAACAGCUGUUCUUUUAACUGGUGACAGGGUGGGAAGAAAGCUUUGAUCUGGUGGUGAGGAGAGCAGGUCAAGGAAUACGCUCAUUUGACCCACCUUCUAUUCCCCAGAUUCUUGGCAUAUUUAGCAUCUCUUUCCCUGUGCUGUCUUCUCUGUAUGUGGCAAUGUGAAAGGCAGCAAGCUACAGAGUCAGGCUAAUCUUGCUGUAACUUUUUUUUUUUUUUUAAGUUUCUGGCACAGGCUUACAAAGCUGUAGGAAGAAAAAAGAAAGUUGGUAUUACUGCCACACAACUUAGAUACCCGAUGUAAUUCAUUAUUUGGUCCUUGUGACUCAGGAGGGAAUGGAAAGGAAAGAAGGAAGGGGUUAUAUGAGUUGUAUCUUAUUGCUAACAUUGCACUUGCGUCCUCUAGCAAAUCUGGCUGGUUUUGGUGGAAGUGGGGAGGACGCCAACCUUUGAGGUCUCUUUGCAGGAAAGUAGGGCAAUCAAAGAAGAAAUCAGUGCCACUCAAAAAGUUGCAGGUGGAUUCUCCAUGUGUAGCACCAAAGGCUGGCACAGUGUUAGGAGAGGGACACUCACUGAAGGUGGUUUCAUGAGCGGAGGGAGGCCCAGAGAUCCAGGGAACUCCCUCAUCAUUGUUUCGAUCAUGUGUAAGAUGGUAACUUGAUCUGCGUGAUCUCUUUGGACCUGAGAAAACGUGUCCAAAAGGAUGCCUCCUGAACAGUGCCUCUUCCGUAGUUCUGUUAGGUCUUGAGUUGGGGGGAGAAGGAUAAAAGGCACCAACUAUCAAAAGUUCAUUCUUAGCACCCGAUUGGAAAGGGGAAAGCAGAGAGAUUCUUUGCUCUAGCAUAACUUGGAAGUCAAAGGUGGUAAGCGGUCAUAGAUUGCAAUUUCCUUUUCAGAGUUUUUAUUUAUGAAGAAAUGACAUUUAUUUUACUGACAGAGUAGCCCGACCAUCUGAGGGAAUUUAGAUUCAGUAAAGAAUUCGGUCUAAAGGGUCAGACUGCUUGAUAUUCACCAGUUUCCACUUGACAACUGUCACAGGCUUCCAUUUGGCAACUCCUUGCCAAGGAUCACAGAUAAGGUCUUUUGCUAUUUUGCAGUUAAGGGACUGGAGUAGGGAGUUCUAGGUGGUCCUCUUUCUGGAAAUGGGAGGAGGUAAUCUCAGAAUGGGGAGGGUGGUAAAGGAGAGAGAGAAGGUGCUUAGCAUAUAGUAGGUAAUUACUGAGAGCAUACGGUUUUAGAGUGAGAAGGUCCUGUGUUAAUACCCGUGAACUGGAGAAACAAUCUCUUUGUGCCUGUUUCUUGAUCAGGGAAUGUUUGCCCAGAACAAUGAGAUGAGGUUAGAAUCCCCAUAUGUAAAACCUAACCCAUCAUACGAGUUUUCUUUUAAAAAAACGAAUUUAUUAAGAGCUUACUAUGUGCCUGGUACUGUCUUUGUUGGGGUAAAUGCAUUUAUAGAGCUUACAUUCUGGUGGCACACGAACUGUGGUAGUUAUUGAUUAGAGGAAAGCUUAAAUAAAAUGGAAUUAGGAAUGCCAAGGACAGGCAAAAUCCUGCAUCAGUGCUGAUUAUACAAAAAUGUAAUGGCAAAUCAUGAGUUACAGUCUCUGUUACCUAAUAGGGAAAUUUGUGAUCUGCAGAGGACUCAGUUCCAAGUGUUUAUAUACUCUGCCCAUCACCCUUUGCCAAGGAGCUGCACUUCUACAACCCACCUCCAGACCCAGUCUGUCUCUUGCCUUGUUUUUCACCUAAUAGGUAAAUACCUCUUGCCUUUACUUGUAGCCUGCUGUUGGUCCAAUGGGGAGAGGCAGCUGUAUUUAUUUAUUUGCCUCUCCUACAAGUUUUAUUUCCUAACAGGUCUGACCUCCUAUCCAGUGGAAAAUGUGUUUCAUCCAUCUUCCUCUGGGUAAUAUGAAGUCUUGAGUCCCUUUGGACCAGUUUUGCCCUCAUGUUGGUUCGAUGGUUUCCUGUGGACGGCCAGGGCUUGAGCAGCAUUUCAGUCUCCCACUCUAGUCUCCCUUUCCACCCAUCACCUCCUGGAGGAUACUCUAGGUGUCAAAGGUGUAGCACCCUCAUUGUAGGUGCUUCAGGCUCUUCUGUACAUACCUUGAAGGGCCAGCAGGCUAGUGGCCAGCAUCACCCAGACCUUUUGCAGGAAGCCUGAACUGGGAGUGCCUUGACUGUGAGUGAACUCGGGGUGUCUUCUUUGCUUCAAUCCUUUGACUGUGUAGUUCCCUGCCUCUGGUUCAAAAGAGAAUCAGUGGAUCAGGUGAGGGUUUCAGAAAUCAUUAAUACCUCCUUUUGCAUCAUCUCAGGACAGUUGGGGGUUUUUUUUGUUCGUUUUGUUUUUUGUUUUGGUUUUUGUUUUUCGUUGUUUGUUUGUUUGUUUCAUCUCCAAGGAUAGCUCUCAGCACAAUUUAUUCCCCAAAUAAAUAUUUUUUAACAUUUAUGGGUAGUGAUGAUGAUUUACUUAAUUAAGCAGCAGUGAACUGAUACAGAAUCUACUGUGUGUCACACUGGGGAUACAAACAGGCCUACCUUAAAGGAACUUUAUUAUUUUUUUUUUUCAUGUUUUAUUUGAGAGAGAGAGCAUGAGCAGGGGAGGGGCAGAGAGAGGGAGAGAGAAACCCAAGCAGGCUCUGUGCCGUCAGUGCACAGCCUGAUGCAGGGCUCCAACUCACAAACCAUUGAGAUCAUGACCUGAGCCAAAAUCAAGAGUCAGACGUUUUUUAACUGAGCCACCCAGGCACCCCUUGAUUGUACCUUUUAAAAUCUGUCUUAUUUUCUUAAAAAAUGUUUUAAUAUUUAUUUAUUUUUGAGAGAGAGAGUGCAAGCUGAAGAGGGGCAGAGAGAGAGAGAGGGAGACACAGAAUCCGAAGCAGGCUCCAGGCCCUUAGCUGUCAGCACAGAGCCUGACACGGGGCUCGGGCUCAUGAACCGUGAGAUCAUGACCUGAGCCAAAGUCAGACGCCUAACCGACUGAGCCACCCAAGCGCCCGAGUCUUGUUAGACAGCUAACAUAGCUUAGUCACCUUGGGCUUGGUUGCCCCCAAAUCUCAUUUAAAAACUAUCUUCUGGAGUGUGUCAAGCAGUUUAGCAGAAGUUAAAAUCUUGGGCUUUGGAAUAGAUCUGGGUUUUUAUCUACCGUUUACUAGCUGAAUGAACUUACCCAGAUUAGCUUUGAGCCUGACUUUUCACGUGACAAGAUUAGGCCCAACCUCAAAAAGGCCAUGAAGAUCGAAAGAAUUGAUCUAUCAUUCAGCGCAAUGCCUGGCACACAGUAAGCACUCAGUAAAUGGUAGACAUUGUUUACAGACACUAUGUUACCUGUCCAGCUUUGUUUCACCCUCCAAAAGGAACCUCAUCUCUGCAUUUGGUGAGCAUCCAUAUGUGCUGACACUAAUACUUAAAUAUACCGAGAGAAUGAGAAAGGCAUUUUAUCUCACAGCCAUCACAAGUAGAAAUGCUUAGGGUGUAUUAGGAGAACGUGACUAGGUUAUAGACUACAUAGAUCAGCUUAUAAAGGAGAAGGGCUUUUCUGCUCCGAUUCGGUUCUGCAAGCUUAGCACUGUGCCUGUGGGAUGCACAAUCAACAGGACAAGUAUGAGAAGAACAACAGAGGAGUUUCCACUAGUAAA
This is an RNA transcript of Panthera uncia (snow leopard), 7409 nucleotides long. It is a transcript of the gene named ring finger protein 115, with no coding region annotated. Lineage: Eukaryota; Metazoa; Chordata; Mammalia; Carnivora; Felidae. The transcript is spliced from 10 exons. The record is from RefSeq and is a predicted model, not a curated record.